RNAcentral lists this ribosomal RNA (641 nucleotides) under Russula aff. brevipes r-05016. RNAcentral describes it as "LSU rRNA". It matches the Rfam family "Eukaryotic large subunit ribosomal RNA", at positions 41 to 649 of the family's 3401-position model. Lineage: Eukaryota; Fungi; Basidiomycota; Agaricomycetes; Russulales; Russulaceae. The record is from RNAcentral.
UAUCAAUAAGCGGAGGAAAAGAAACUAACAAGGAUUCCCCUAGUAACUGCGAGUGAAGCGGGAAAAGCUCAAAUUUAAAAUCUGGUGGUCUUUUGGCCGUCCGAGUUGUAAUUUAGAGAAGCGUCUUCCGCGCUGGACCGUACACAAGUCUCCUGGAACGGAGCGUCAUAGAGGGUGAGAAUCCCGUCUUUGGUACGGACCCCCAGGGCUUCUGUGAUGCGCUCUCGAAGAGUCGAGUUGUUUGGGAAUGCAGCUCAAAAUGGGUGGUGAACUCCAUCUAAAGCUAAAUAUUGGCGAGAGACCGAUAGCGAACAAGUACCGUGAGGGAAAGAUGAAAAGCACUUUGGAAAGAGAGUGAAACAGUACGUGAAAUUGUUGAAAGGGAAACGCUUAAAGUCAGUCGCGUCCGCCGAGACUCAGCCUCGCUCCGGCUUGGUGUAUUUCUCGGUCGACGGGUCAGCAUCAAUUUCGUCCCUCGGAUAAUGGCGAGGGAAAGGUGGCACCUUUGCGGGUGUGUUAUAGUCUUUCGUCGCAUGCGAGGGGUGAGAUUGAGGAACUCAGCACGCGCACCCUCUGGGGUGUGUCGGGGCCUCGGCCCACGCCACGUGCUUAGGAUGCUGGCGUAAUGGCUUUAAACGACC